CUAUAGUGCAUAGUAUAGUUGAGAAGUUGCAUAUAUUUAUUGCUUAUAAUAAUACAAAUGAUAUAUCUUUUAGUAAAAUGAUUUUUCUUUAUAAAAAUGGAAGUAAUAGUGCAUCUAAUAAUGUUCAUGUUGCAAUAAUUUUGUGCGGAUGUUCUGAAUUUUUACAUCUCACGACCGGUACGCAUGUACUCGGGUAAAUCGAAUGAAUGGAAGCUCUGAAAAGUAAGAUUUGCGAUUUUAAUCGCUUUCAAAAUUUUUUGACAGAAUGAGUACAUGUAAAUUAAUCCAGCGAAGAUGCUACGAUCUACUUUCACACAAGUACUCACUCCUGAUCAUUGUGAUUGCGUUCACCUGUGUAUUUAUUGGAGUCAUCCACUUUGGCGAGGUGUGGAUACAAUGGAGCAAGGAGAAAUAUGAAGCAGUAUUUCACUCUUUCAAUGACAAUAUACUCGGCAUAUCAUUUCAAAAGAAAUUGUGCCAACACGUCCCGAUCGAUGUUGUAUAUACUUGGGUCAAUGGAUCAGAUCCAGCUUUCCUUCAAAAUCUCGAAAAACAUGUUCCAAUAGUAGACAUUAAUUCAGCUGUCUCUAGAUUUAGUGAUAAAGAUGAGUUGAGAUACUCUCUCAGAUCAUUGGAAAUGUAUGCGCCUUGGGUCAGACACGUUUAUAUCGUGACCAAUGGACAAAUACCAAGUUGGUUGGAUAUGGACAAUUCACGUGUGACUGUUGUCACCCAUGAUGAUAUUUUCAUUGAUAAAAGUGAUUUACCUACCUUUUCUAGUCCUGCCAUAGAAAGUCACAUUCAUAGAAUCUCAGGUCUUUCUGACAAAUUUUUAUACUUCAAUGACGACGUUAUGUUGGGUGCUGAAGUUUGGCCCGAGGAUUUUAUAACACAUGCAGAAGGUCAAAAAGUGUAUUUAGCCUGGUGGGUGCCAGAUUGUUCCGAUGUUUGUCCCUGGGCUUGGGUCAGUGAUGGAGCUUGCGAUCCAAGUUGUAAUACCACGUUGUGUGAAUUUGAUGGAGGAGAUUGUGAUCCGUUGCCAAUUUCUACGGACAGUGAAGGUAUUGAAGACGAAAGUGACUAUCCGUAUAAAUUUCUGCGGGAGUCACAACUUAGGGCCAGGGAAGCCGAAAGAUUAUUAAACGCUUUAAAAAUGUCCACCUCUCAGUCGCCCAUCGAAGACAUAACAAAUUUAAUUUUUUUGCGAGUCUUGCAAUCCUACAAAAAACAAGUUGAAAACAAAGUGAGAAAUAUCACAGAAAGUAAUCGAUCAUCCUAUACAAAAAAUUAUACAAAUUUGUUGAACCUGAAACAAGUUGCAAACGAGAGUAGAACCUCAACUCAUGGAAAGCGAAGAUUAUUACCGGCUAAAAUUUUUAAAUCUGACAAUUUAGAGAGCUUAAAUGACACGGAACUUCGAAUGCAACAAAAACAUUUUCUAAACGACGACAUCAUUAAUUUAGUACAAGUUAAUAAUACUGCAAAAUCUUAUAAACUAAAAUACGCUGAUCAAUUGAAACGAAAACCAAGACAGCUUGAUACAUACGCAGAAUCCUUGUUAUACGUGAAUAGGAUAUAUAAUUUAGCUUACGGUUUUCAGAGGCGAAGAGUUCCCGCUCAUAUGCCUCAUUUACUAGACAAGUGGAUUAUUAACGACAUGCAAGCAAAAUUUCAAGAUGAAUUCAAGAAAACUUCUAGUCACAAAGUCAGAAGCGCAGAAGAUAUGCAGUUCGCCUUCUCUUAUUUUUACUUCGUAGCGAGCGAAAAACGAAAUCUGCCUACUUCAAAUAUAUUCAACAGAUUCGACACUGACAAGUCUCAAACUUGGUCUGAUAGAGAAAUUCGAACACUAUUGUCAAGAAUGCAUCCUUUGCCGUUGGAUUAUAGCUUGGUUAUGGAUUUUGAAAAUUCUAUCACGAAUUGUUCACGAAAAGUGCAAAUUCAGGAAACGCCAUCACCGCCUUCUGGAGAGAGAUAUUUAGACUCAACACUCCCUGUUGUAUCAAAAGAAUUAGUUCUUAAGUGUGACUCGAUCAGUCAAAAGCUUCAGGCUAAAUUUGGUGAGCAGAAACGAUAUAAACACGAAGUGGUUAAAGCAGGGAAGAACGAAAUUUUCGAGAUGCUGACGAGUAAUAUAUCAAUGACUGUUCAAAUUUUAGAUGAGAUACGAAGAGAACCAAAGAAAUUUAUAUGUUUAAACGAUGAUAUGGACCCAAAUCGUCGAUCAGAGAACGAAGUAGUGCGAGCAUUACUGAAUGACUUUUAUCGAUCGCUCUAUCCCAUAAAAAGCAGUUUCGAAUUACCAGCUCAAUACAGAAAUCGCUUUUCGCAUCGGCACGAACUGUUUGAGUGGAGAGCAAGUAGAGCCAAAGCUAGAAAUUUGCUUCUGGUCCUCGUUGCCGUGCUACUAAUAUUAACAUUUUACCAUCUUUUUCACCACCAAAUAAGAAGAAUACUGAGAAUUCGAACACUGCCUCCUCUUCUUGUUUGACAAGGCCAACAAUAGAAUUUUGGGCUUUCUGGGCCAACAACAAAGGAAAAGGCUGAGAGGUUUCACUUGACUAGGAAUACAAAAAUACCCUACUGACUGAUUCGCUGAGAACAAGCAUAAUCCAACACACUCUUGAAGAACACUGGGUGACCUGCCUGGAACGUCGGAGAAGCGGCGAGGAGUUUGCUCUGCUUAAACACUGGGAAUACUGACGGGAUAAGACGACAUGGGUAGAAUGAGUGCUGCUCGCUCGAGAAUUUAUGAACCAACCUCACCUACGUCAUGUCCAUCUUGCUCCUCCCUGAUUAGUCGGAAUUCAGAUACUUCCACAACAUCGCGUGGACAAAAACAGUACUAAAGCAAUGCCGUAUGAUGUAAAACGAUAAGAACAUACGAAUAACCAAAUACGUAGUAUGCUGAAAAGGCAACUUCAAUGCCUUCCACAACAUCUAGAACUGUGAUAAGAACGCUGUUCUCGAUAACAACUACAACCUGAGCAUUGGGAUCAAAAAUGGACGUUCCUGAAGAAAAAAUAAAAUUUGGUAAUUCAUUUUCAAAUAAAAAUGAAUUUAACUAAACUAAAAGCGAUUUGAAACAAGAUGUCAAUUUAAUUACAAACUGAAUUGAUAAAAAACAAUGCAUGUACCUCUGAUCAUAACAGUUGGAUACACUGUUGGUGCCAGCAUCUUUGUUACAUCAUCAGUGGUUUCGAUCUUAAAAAUUAAAAAACAAUUUAAUCAGAAAAAA
Belonocnema kinseyi is the source of this 3238-nucleotide RNA transcript. It is a transcript of the gene named N-acetylglucosamine-1-phosphotransferase subunits alpha/beta, with no coding region annotated. NCBI's taxonomy places the organism in Eukaryota, Metazoa, Arthropoda, Insecta, Hymenoptera, Cynipidae. The record is from RefSeq and is a predicted model, not a curated record. The transcript has 9 exons.